AAAUUAGUAUAAACGAGAGGCGAGUGGAAGACUAGGAUACUAUAUAAAAGGACGUGAAAAACGAAAUGUCGUAAAAGAGAUAUCUGAGAUAAGACACUCCUUUUGAGAAAUCUUUGAGGAAAUAACCUUUGAGAAUUGAAACAUCUAAGUAUCAAGGGAAUAAAAAUCAAGCGAGAUUUCGUUAGUAGUGGCGAGCGAAUGCGAAUAACAGGGUAGUUAUUAAUUAAAAACUAAUUUUAUAUCACCAAAGGGGAUAACAGAUCUGUAGGGUUUAAAUAAUAACAAUAUUAUUGAGUAUAAUUAUUAAAAUACAGGUGUACCACACACCUAAGACUAAAUAAUAUAGUAUACCGAUAGUAAACGAGUACUGUAAAGGAAUGUUGAAAGAGAUAUUAGUGAAAAAGAGCCGGAAACUCGUCUACUUACAAGUAGACAUAAUAUUGUCGUACCUUUUGUAUAAUGGGUUCACAAGAAUAAUAUUUGGCAAACUUAAGUUUAUAAAUGUAGGUAAAGUGAAAGCGAGUUUUAAUAAAACGAGAUAAAGUCAAAUGAUCCCGAAACCAAGUGAUCUAGUCAUGGGCAGUUUGAAACAAUUCAAAAAAAGUUGUGGAGGAACGAACCGGUGAUUGUGGCAAAAAUCUCGGAUGACCUGUGGCUAGGGGUGAAAGGCCAAUCGAACUUGGAAAUAGCUGGUUUUCUGCGAAAACUAUAUAAGUAGUACAUCAUAUAUAUUCUAACAUGAUAGAGCUCUGAAUAAAUUUAGGGAGAGUUUCUUUACUAAAUAAAAUUAAACUAUGAAUGUGUUAGAAGAAAUUUUGAUAGACAGACGUUGGCGAGAAGGUCAAUAGUCAAAAGGGAAACAGCCCUUAUUUGAAGUUAAGGUCAUAAAGAUGGGCUAAGUGUAAAAGAGGAUUAUUUUUAAUAUUAGAUAAUGAGUAAGUAGGCUUGGAACCAGCCAUCUUUUAAAGAUUACGUAAUAGUUCACUCAAUAAAUUUAAUAACCUCUAAAAUUUAGGUGGCUUAAGACCAUUUGAUCCGAAACUCUGAAUAUGAAUUAUGGUAGCAGAACGUACUGUAUUUAUUAGUGUAAACGAAAUCAGAAGUGAUAAUGUGAAUAUGAGUAAAAAACAAUGUAGAAAUCAUUGUUCAUGACCUAAGGUUUCCAAUUAAAGGAUGUUCCUAAUUGGGUUAAACAGUCCCUAAAAUAUAUGGGAACGUAGUAAAAUAAAUUACGCUUAAUGCGUCAGGAAGUAAUUAUUCCACAAAACGGGCUGUACUAAAACUGACACGAGUGGGUCGUAACAUGAUGGUAUAAUUUAUCUUAAGGAAUUCGGCAAAUUGUUCCUGUAAGUUCGCGAGAAGGGAAGUUAAUAAUUUAAAGAUAAAAUUAUUAAUUGCAAAGAAGAGGGGGUGUCGACUGUUUACCAAAAACAUAGCUUCCUGCUAAGUUCUCAAAAUAUUGGAAGUGAGGCCUGCCCAAUGGUUGUAUCUAAACCCAAGUAAUAAUUAGGUUAACUUGGUUAAGGACAAUUUAAUGGCCGCGGUAACACUGACCGUGAUAAUGUAGCGCAAUCAAUAGCCAAUUAAUUAUUGGCAAGUAUGAAUGGCUUAACGAGCGCCCCGCUGUCUCAAGAUAAAUACCAAUGAAAUUAAAUUCGUAGUGAAGAUGCUACGUACAAAUUGUAAGACGAGAAGACCCCAUUGAGCUUGACUGAAGGUUUAUAAAAUUGGGGGUUAAUUAAUGUGUAGACUAUGUGGGAAAUAAAGAUUUAUUUAAUUUUUAUGAAAAACCACUCUUUUAAUUAAAAACUAAUUAGGUACGCCCUUAUGAGGGCGUAUUUACGUGUAAAUCAGACAGUUUGGUUGGGGCGACCACCUUCUAAAAAGUAACGAAGGUAAACAUAAGGCUAAUAUAAUAUAAUAAGGCCAGACAGUGAGGGGUACUUCCUAGCUGACACGGGGUUUGAAGCCUUGCUUCGUCCCCGCUGUGUUAUAAUGACCCGUUGGUUAAAAGUGGGAUUACUAACGAUCAAUGGAUAAAAGUUACCAUGGGGAUAACAGAGUAAUAUCGUCUGAGAGUUCAUAUCGAUGACGAAGUUUGCUACCUCGAUGUUGAAUUGUGGUAUCCUGAGGGUGCAGCUGCUCUCAAGGGUUGGACUGUUCGUCCAUUAAAACCAUACAUGAUUUGAGUUCAGACCGGCGUGAGCCAGGUCGGUUUCUAUCUACAAUUUNGUAAGGAUGCAUUAUACAUAUCUAUCUUCUAGUACGAAAGGACCGAAGUAUUAGUUGUCCUCUGGUGUUCCAAUUAAAAGUUGGGGAGUUACGACAGUCAAAAAAAAUCACUGAAAGCAUCUUAAGUGAGAAAUAUGNGUAAAUCUGUGCUUCCAUAUAAGAGUGUUUAAGAUAAAAACAUUGAUAGGACCUAAGUGAAGAGCUUCAGGUUACUAAUAAUCUUUAAUACUAAUUUUA
RNAcentral lists this ribosomal RNA (2469 nucleotides) under Chondrilla aff. nucula CHOND. RNAcentral describes it as "LSU rRNA". It matches the Rfam family "Bacterial large subunit ribosomal RNA". Lineage: Eukaryota; Metazoa; Porifera; Demospongiae; Chondrillida; Chondrillidae. The record is from RNAcentral.